RNAcentral lists this ribosomal RNA (497 nucleotides) under uncultured bacterium. Its description in RNAcentral is "partial 16S ribosomal RNA". It matches the Rfam family "Bacterial small subunit ribosomal RNA", at positions 28 to 507 of the family's 1533-position model. The record is from RNAcentral.
GACGAACGCUGGCGGCGUGCCUAAUACAUGCAAGUUGAGCGCUGAAGGUUGGUACUUGUACCGACUGGAUGAGCAGCGAACGGGUGAGUAACGCGUGGGGAAUCUGCCUUUGAGCGGGGGACAACAUUUGGAAACGAAUGCUAAUACCGCAUAAAAACUUUAAACACAAGUUUUAAGUUUGAAAGAUGCAAUUGCAUCACUCAAAGAUGAUCCCGCGUUGUAUUAGCUAGUUGGUGAGGUAAAGGCCCACCCAGGCGAUGAUACAUAGCCGACCUGAGAGGGGGAUCGGCCACAUUGGGACUGAGACAAGGCCCAAACUCCUACGGGAGGCAGCAGUAGGGAAUCUUCGGCAAUGGACGAAAGUCUGACCGAGCAACGCCGCGGGGGGUGAGAAGGUUUUCGGAUCGUAAAACUCUGUUGGUAGAGAAGAACGUUGGUGAGAGUGGAAAGCGCAUCAAGUGACGGUAACUACCCAGAAAGGGACGGCUAACUACGUG